Non-coding RNA from Peromyscus maniculatus bairdii (prairie deer mouse), 324 nucleotides. NCBI's taxonomy places the organism in Eukaryota, Metazoa, Chordata, Mammalia, Rodentia, Cricetidae. The record is from RefSeq and is a predicted model, not a curated record.
CGGAUAAGACCAGCUGGUAUUCACUGCCAGGGACAUUUAUUCAGUGUGCAUGUGCAGACCCAGAACACGGCAGGCGUACAUGAGGCCGAGGCAGGCAGAUUCCAAGAGGACAAAGAGGACCCAAGAAGGCCGACAAUUUGCUGACGAGUCGGGACAAUGCUGUUGGUGCCUGUUGUCUCCCCGAAGGGCACAACUCCGCCUCCCAGGAACGUCAGACGCCCUUACAACUGCCCGAAGGAUAAAGUCUCAGGAGCCCAGACUUUCACACGUAGCCACCCAGUGCUAAUUUCUCUUUCUAACAAAUGAAGGAGCAGGAGAGCAGAA